This is a non-coding RNA of Xyrichtys novacula (pearly razorfish), 5473 nucleotides long. The record is from the annotation of a GenBank genome assembly. NCBI's taxonomy places the organism in Eukaryota, Metazoa, Chordata, Actinopteri, Labriformes, Labridae.
CACUGUCUGUGGUCAUUCAAGUCUGUUACAGUUACAUGCAUGAAAAUACAGAGAGACAGCAGCCUGAAGAGUGAGAGGUCCCCAACCAUCAAGUCGAGGAUCAACUUCCUGUCCUGCAAUCCAUGCAACAGCUGCAGACCUGGUGAGUGCAUCCUUUAAGUCCCACUCUGACCGAUUUUUAUUUAUUUAUUUUUAUUAUUAUUAUUACAAGUUUUUAGCCAAAAUCACAUUACCUGUGUCAUUUUUAAAAGUUUUUCUUCUACAGAACUUCAGUAGCUCAUUAGCAAUUCACCUCUGAGUCGUGGGCGGAGACAGCGCUGCUCUGCACACUCCUCUUCACACUAGCUUGUAGCCUAACAUUCCUGGUGAAGUAGAAGUAGCAGGUAACAUCGGAGCUAUUCGGCUCUUGGACAUGAUGAAAGUUAACAUCAUAAUUAGCUUUCUUACGAGCAUUGCAAUCCGCUUACACACACGCUUGUUCCGCGAUUGUCCUCGAUUUCUCUGAGUGUGGCCUGCAUAGCGAGGCUCUGGGGGCGGAGCUUGGAUUUGUGAUGUAGGAAAUCUCACUGAGCCUGCCAUUUGGAAUACUCAGAAAUACUCAGAAAUGCAAUUUAGCACUUAGUUUUCUCAUGAUAUGUCCCGUAGCAUCAGAAAAAUGACAUAUAAACAUGUAGACAACAAGAAAAACAUGAUUUUAUUCGGAGUGAGUGUUUAAGUUGCAACCAAGGACCUCAAAACUGCAUGUUUUGACAUUUGCAGUGUUGAUGUUUUCACCGACAUAUGUGCAGAAAAACAUUACACACACACUCAUGAUAAGUUAUUUUCCCUUAUCUUACAUUUACUCCACUCUUGAAGGUUUUGACCUCAUUUGCACAGAUCACGUACAGUAUAUCAGUGAACGAAGCUGUGCAGGGAAGAGUUUCAAAGACACAGAUCAUCAGAACUUUGGUUUGUAGAAAAUAAAGUUUGUUUUGAUUGUAUCUCAGCGCUGACGAUGAUCCUAAAAGCACUAAUAGUCACAUGGCUGCAACACUGAAGCUAUCUGACCUUUUCCUUUUUAUGUAACCUCCAGUCCAACACUUGAGUUAGUCCCCCAUCGAUCGACGGCUUUAUUUAUUGAUAGAAGCAGGAUUACUUUCUCAUGUUUGUGUUUGGUCAGGUACCCAGAAAGGUAGGAUUCGAAAACCAAACAUCUCUUUCUGUUGCAACCAUCUGUGUUGCAUAAUUCAAGCUACAACUGUGUUGCAUAACUCUCCUGACUUGGGGACUGCGUGUGCUGCUCCGGUUCUUGCUGAAACUGGUUAAAUAUCUUGAUGUUGCAAAAGCCAGGAAAAUUAUCUCCUCGUUUGGCAAACAGCUGUUUUUGUUUUUCGGUGAAAUCAACUCUGGGUAAAAGACGAAGUUGUAACGUGAUGUAAUAAGCCGUGUUACGACCCCUUAUCUCUCCUGCACUUGUUUUUGUCACACUUUUAUGUUUUUUAAAGCACUUUAUCGGAGGGACUUUAUCAUAUUUAUUGCACAUUUAUCUCGCUUUAUUACCCUCUUUAAAAAACCAACGAACAAAGUGUGUGAAACGUCUUUGUUUGCAGCCAAAGUGGCCUCCAGGUGAGAAUUCUGUAAAUACUCAGCGGCUCAUUGGCUUAAAACAAUGUUUGUAUACAUAACCGCAUUAAGAGAAUAAGACAGAUUGAAGAGAGAGGUAUUUUAAUGACUGAUUAACUUUGAGCCCAAUUUUUUAACCCUUCGGACAACCUUACAGUAUGCUAAUAUGAACUUAGAGACGGCAGGUUAAGAGCGUUCAGCGGUUUUUAACACUCGGUUCCUGUUCAUUUGAAGCUCCAUCCAGUCUUCUUGUCCUCAAAAUGGACAUGCAGAUAAAUUCUCAUAAAAUAAUCAUUUUUUAACUUUUUUUUUCACUUUUUAAACUCAAAUCUCUUAAACAAAUUCAAUCCUGGUCAUUAAAAAAAUAAUGAACAGAAAAUUCGAUGUAUUACCCUUUUUAUACCAGUUUUUGUGCGCCAUGUCACUGCUAUUUAAAACACAAAAUCAUGAUAUUUCAUGAGCGCUUCAAACUCUCUCAGUCCAUUAAUGAAGACUUGCGUGUGCGGCACAGAAGGGGUUAAAAUUACGUGCUGGCUCAAUCUGUUGUAUCACUGUGGGAAGGAUAAUUUAGAGCCCUGGUGAUCGACUGACUGCAAAAAGAAGGUUUUAAUAUGUUGUUAUGGUGCCAUAAACACACGGUCAAAAAACGUGUUUUUAAUGGAAGUCUAUUGUCCGAUUUACGGACAAAGUUGGUUGGAUGGAGCUAAAAUGCGGUGAUGGAGAACUACAGGUGACACCGAGUUUUUUUUUGAUAUGAAGAAAAAUAAGAUCUCUUUUUGAUGCCCCAAUCUUUAAAAGUGUGACUGUCAGCUCAAAAUAAAGAGGAAAAAAAAUGAUAAAUGUCCCUUAAAACGGACAUAGUAGGAACCAAGGGUUAAAGGCUUACUGGUUUUACUUUUUACACAGUUUUACAGCUACAACCAGAAAAUGUGGGAGGCUAGCCGUUUAAUUAGCUCCCCAUUUAGCCACUUUGGUAUAUAUUAGGUUAUGGCAGAAGAUGGCUCAGCAUGUAUCAUGUUAUUGUGACUGCAGUUUGGUGUGUCUAUCCAACAUUGUGUACAUACAGUAUGUGUGUAUUUAAGUGAAGAUCAGCAUAAGAGGUCUGUUUUAUGAGGUGACAUGUAGAGAGUGUGAGUUCGAGUAUAUUAAGAUGGUAAUUCCCUUUUAGGUCAUAGUUUUCCACUGGGAACAGUUUUGUAUUUAAACUCCUAAAAGCAAAUAUAUUCUUCGUGUUUCAAACAUCGAAGGGCUGAUUUUAAACAUGUCUAAGUGUCGUGAUAUGUUCUAAUAUUUAGUUUUAAUCUGGUUUUGGUCAUUUGAGUGUAUUUUCCCGAGUGUUCCUGUUCCCCCUGUAGUCCAGUCUUGUGAGUUGUCAGUUUGUUCCUGACCCCAGUUCCCUCAUGUUCUCAGUGUCUCCUGUUUUAUUUUGUGGUAGUUUCUAGUCUUCUCUAGUCCCUCUUCUGUGAUUGUCCUCACUUGUGUCUCAGUGUCUCACCUGUUGCUCGUUUCCCUGUGUGAGUAUAUAGUCCUUGUCUUCCCCUGUUUCUCUGGUUCAUUGUGUAGCUGUAUGUCGAGGUGUCUGCACGCUUGUGUCUCUGGUGAUUUUUUGCUUCUUUUGUGGAUUUUCCUCUUUUUUUCCCCCCUUUUUUUGAAUGUAGUUAUUUUAAAAUAAAUCUUUUGUUGUUCUGAAUUUUCAGUCCUUUUCCUGUUUGUUUAAUUCUGAACCCUGACACCAAAUGUUUUUCGUGCACGUUUGUUUCCUAAUUCAUACGGCUUAUUGUCCCUUCAUUAACGGGGAUUUGAGAUUUAAACAUGGCCGACCAAAAGGAGAGUGGAAAAUUACACCUUUACAGUAAUCUGGACUUACUCUGGAGGUUUUAGGAUUAACUUUUCUUCAGCUGGUGUCAAUUAAAGAAUUCUAAUAUAUGAACAAAUGCUCAUAAUAAUCCUCUGUGCUUCUUACAAAAUAACUUUUGUUUUAAAAUCUGUCUUAAAAUUGGACUUUGUCCUGCUGUAGUUUGAAAUAUGAGCUGUGAUGUUUACUGUGAAUUUUAUUCCCCCUGAACAAACAUCUAAAUUCACUCUUUCCAUCCUUUAUUUACAUCCUGCAGCAGCUCUCUUUAUUGUGCGCCGACGGUCAAACGUUUACCCGUGAGUAAUGGCCGACUCCAUCCAAGCAGCGUGGAAAUAUGACGGGAUCAAAUACUAUUUCCUGUUUACAGGAAUUUCUGGAGCAAACAGUUUAUACAGCGCAGUAACACACAGUGGAUAACAGGACGCUUAAAGGUGCUCCAAAUAAAGGCAUAAUAAAUAAAAUAGUGGCGGCUGCGUUUAAAGGGGCGUGAGCAACAGGACGGACCUUUUAUUGUGUUUGAUUCAAUACGUAUUGUUUUAUACUUUUGUGCUCAGUCAAGGUUUUGUUUACAACUCGGUCUCUUAGCGACACGUUUGUACUGUUCAGCUUCCAGGAAGUGAACUCUGGAUCACACAAAGAAAAAAAAAAACUGAGUCGUUGAGGCAGAUUUAAAAAAAGCGUCCCACCCCUCACACACAAACCUCUCCCCUCUCUGCUCCACAAUAACCUGUACCUGAACCUGUAACGCCCUCCCCACGAUCCCCCCCCGACAGAGCAAGAAGCCGGCCGGCAGAAGAUCCUACGCUAGCUUCAAAUAGGAUUCACCAUGUCGGAUUGUUUGUGAGUAGCGGCAGUAAACGCCAGCUCUGGUAGUGACAGCUACCGUGUUGACAUUACAGAGACUAAUAAGAGUUAUUUAUGUAACAUGUGCCACGAUAAAAGGUGAUAAAAAUGACCUGUUCAACUAAAACUCUGCUGUCUCUGCGUCUGUUUUCAGGACCAAAUCCUGGCAGAGAUUUCUCCACCGCUCAAAGGAUGACCUUUAUUCGAGUUAGAUUCCUUAUUUGGUCCCAUUUCCUCUCCGACUCCGCCCUUUCUUCUGUCGGCUUGCGUUUUCCUCCCACUUUUGGCGGUGGGGCGAGCAGAAGUGUUAUUUUUGCGUCCUUCUCCAUCACAGCUCCUGUAGCUAAGCUGCUAUGCUACUUUUAGCCGCUCAGAGCUCCGCGGAGGGCCGGGAGAGUGGGAGUGGGAGAGGACGAGUCAGAACUACACGAGAGGGGCGUCGAAUACAUGGAGAGGCGGAGCAGGAGAUUGACCAAUAGGAGCUGUCCGGGACGGAUGGCUCCUAUUGGUCAGUGUUUUUGCAGCCCUGCACCUGCUAGUGUGAACGGAUUUUUUCCAUUCUUUUUUCUCUUCACUUUGUGGAGAUCGCACUAUAGGACCAUGAUCGCCAUAGAAACAAGGUUCAUUAUAAUUACCUAUCUCUCCAAUCGUCAACCAUGCCUUUACACCAGUUUUAUAUUUUAACUAAUUACUGUAUAAACCAACAUACUGACUUUCAAUGAUGUAAAUUUGAUAAAGUUUUAGUCGAAGUGAAUUCAGACUCUUCAUUGUCGUUGUAUAAUUAUGCGAUGAGACACGAUGACACAGCGAAAACCUCGUCUCUGUUUCAUCUUUAAUCCACCUCUAAUCUUUCACUCAGUGUCUGAAUCAUUUCUGCGGCAGAGGAAGAUUUUUUUUUUAUCAUGUUUCAUAUUUUGGUGUAAACAGAAGAAGAGCCGGCCACCAUGACAGAACCCGACAGAACUUCAUGGUGGUUUCCAGACAGAGUGAUGAGGGAUUUCUGGGAAGUGCGGAGCAGAAACAUUACAGCGCACCACACCUGUAAACAAACUGUGUCUCUUUCUCUCUUUUGUCUUUGUUCUUCGGUUAUUUAUUCCUCACACAGUCACUUCCAUUAGAUGGAGGAUAAUGCGCCGAGUCGUGCCAGGUUAUGAGCGGAUUAAAGCACCUGAG